RNAcentral lists this ribosomal RNA (253 nucleotides) under uncultured bacterium. RNAcentral's name for it is "partial 16S ribosomal RNA". It matches the Rfam family "Bacterial small subunit ribosomal RNA", at positions 524 to 776 of the family's 1533-position model. The record is from RNAcentral.
UACGUAGGGAGCAAGCGUUGUCCGGAUUCACUGGGUGUAAAGGGUGCGCAGGCGGGAGAGUAAGUCAGAGGUGAAAUCUCACAGCUUAACUGUGAAACUGCCUUUGAUACUGCUUUUCUUGAGUUCGGGAGAGGUUGAUGGAAUUCCAGGUGUAGCGGUGAAAUGCGUAGAUAUCUGGAAGAACACCAGUGGCGAAGGCGGUCUCCUGGGGCAUUCUUGACGCUGAUGCGCGAAAGCUGGGGGAGCAAACGGG